RNAcentral lists this small RNA (125 nucleotides) under Escherichia coli. Its description in RNAcentral is "RtT sRNA". It matches the Rfam family "RtT RNA". Rfam says of the family: This family represents a bacterial cis-regulatory element known as RtT RNA. The exact function of RtT is unknown although it is thought that it may be involved in changing the cellular response in relation to amino acid starvation. Lineage: Bacteria; Pseudomonadati; Pseudomonadota; Gammaproteobacteria; Enterobacterales; Enterobacteriaceae. The record is from RNAcentral.
GUUUGCACUCAUCGGGGAAGGGUGAGAACCUUCGACUAAGGUUCGAUUCGAGCGAAAGCGAGAGAACGUUGCCACAGGCAACGGCCCGAAGGGCGAAGCGACAAAUAAUCCUUCCCCCACCACCA